UCAGUAACACGUAGCCAACAUGCCCAGGGGACGUGGAUAACCUCGGGAAACUGAGGAUAAACCGCGAUAGGCCAUGAUUUCUGGAAUGGUUCAUGGCCGAAAUCUAUAUGGCCCCUGGAUUGGACUGCGGCCGAUACAGGCUGUUGGUGAGGUAAUGGCCCACCAAACCUGUAACCGGUACGGGCUCUGAGAGGAGGAGCCCGGAGAUGGGCACUGAGACAAGGGCCCAGGCCCUAUGGGGCGCAGCAGGCGCGAAAUCUCUGCAAUAGGCGAAAGCUUGACAGGGUUACUCUGAGUGGUUCCCGUUAAGGGGAUCUUUUGGCACCUUUCAAAAAUGGUGCAGAAUAAGGGGUAGGGCAAGUCUGGUGCCAGC
This 373-nucleotide ribosomal RNA is filed under the name unidentified archaeon. Its description in RNAcentral is "bacterial SSU rRNA". It matches the Rfam family "Archaeal small subunit ribosomal RNA", at positions 90 to 462 of the family's 1478-position model. The record is from RNAcentral.